Molecule: small nuclear RNA, 182 nt
Filed under: Oncorhynchus mykiss (rainbow trout)
Lineage: Eukaryota; Metazoa; Chordata; Actinopteri; Salmoniformes; Salmonidae
Description: U2 spliceosomal RNA (ENSOMYG00000058068.1)
Rfam family: U2 spliceosomal RNA
About the family: U2 is a small nuclear RNA (snRNA) component of the spliceosome (involved in pre-mRNA splicing).
Source: RNAcentral
AUUAUUUUUCUAAAAAAAAAAAAAAAAAAUCUGUUCUUAUCAGUUUAAUAUCUGAUACGUCCCCCAUCGGGGGACUACAUAUUAAAUGGAUUUUUCGAACAGGGAGUCGGAAAUGGGGCUUGCUCCGUCCGCUCCACGCAUCGACCCGGUAUUGCAGUACCUCCGGGAACGGUGCAACACUU